GAAGGAAACCGUGACCGAGGACAAGCUGAUGGCAUCAGAUGAACUGAGUGUCUAAAAUCAGUCCAGUCGAGCCGAAGGGGUCCGCCUGACAGCAGAGGAUGAAGGUCAAGCUGAAGUCUGCUUUGCAUAAUAAUUCACUUUCUGCUCUUUGUGGAGCUGAUUGAGUCGCGGAUCAUCUUAAGCCUCCAGCUCAUGUCCCUGAAGGCCCAACAGUGUUUCCACCAGUUCCCCAUCCUGUCAUGUUCCUGCCUGUGUAUUUUAGUCUUCCCCUGAUCGUUGCUGUGUCACACCCUCUCCGUGCUGCGUUUUCUCCUUGUGUUAAUGGUGGCUUUCGAGUUCUCUGUUCACAGUUUUGUUUUAUAGUUUCCCAGUUUUCUAGUUGGUGCUUAUUGCUUCGAGUUUCUAGUUUUGUUUCCUUGUAUUCAUGUUUGAGUUUUCCCCAGCAAAUAAAGCUGCCGCUUUGAGUUUAACUUUUGCUCUAUGAGAGUCCUGCAUUUGGGUCCUUCCUCCUGCCUGCUGCAGCACACAUCAUCACAG
This is a long non-coding RNA of Astatotilapia calliptera (eastern happy), 537 nucleotides long. The record is from Ensembl. Lineage: Eukaryota; Metazoa; Chordata; Actinopteri; Cichliformes; Cichlidae.